UAAUUUAUUGUAUAAUAUUCAUUUAAAGUGACAAAUCGUUUGAUUCUUUCUUAUAGCUGAACCUAUGGUUCUGCAGUCAAGCACUGUUCCACUUAACCAGGGAGGAUUGAUUGAAAUAGAUUAAGAGUUGACACAUUUAUAUUACUGAUAAAAAAAUGCUCAAAAUGUAAACAAAAAUGAUAUAAAAGAAGACAGUUUUUUUUUAUUCAUUUUUUUUUUUUUUUUUUUUUCAAAUUAUUUGAAUUUAUACUGGGGGACAUGUUUUGCCCUGUCUGUUGGUUUGUUUGUUUGUUGGCUUGUUUGCCAUAACUUUUGCAAUAUUGAAGAUAUCAACUUGAUAUUUGGCAUGCAUGUGUAUCUCAUGGAGCUGCACAUUUUGAGUGAUGAAAGGUCAAAGGUCAAAUAUACGGUUAAAAGCGCUCAUUAAAUAUACACUAUAACUUCGUUAGAACUUCUUUCACAUACUUAAUAUCUCAUAUGUAAUGUAUCUCAUACAGCUGAACGUUUGAAAUAGUGAAUUGGUAACUUCAAUGUCACCCAUCUAGGUCAAAGGUCAAGUUCUUCUACAAACUCAAAUACUUCAAAUUUAAUUACAGAACUUUCUGUGUCAUUAAUACUAUAAUAGGCAUGAUUUGUGUAUCUGAACUCCAUCACUAGUGUAUCUUUUAUCCCUAUUAUCAAGGCGUCUUUUAUAACAUUAUACCAUAAUAUCCACAGCCUGUUGGCAUUUAUUGUUUAUAAUGUAUGUGACUUUAAAAUUAACAAAUUUCUAAAUGUGAGCAAUUUUUAUGUCCAUAACUGGUGUAACUUUGAUGUCCAUAACCUAAGUGACAUAUUCUAAGUAACGGUAAUGUCCGUAAGUUGUGUGACUUAAUUGUUCAUAACCUAAGUGACUGUCAUGUCCAUAAAUUGUGUGACUUUAAUGUUAAUAAUCUAUUCUAAGUAACAGUAAUGUCCAUAAGUUGUCUGACUGUAAUGUCCGUAAGUUGUGUGACUUAAUUGUUCAUAACCUAAGUGACUGUCAUGUCCAUAAAUUGUUGUGUGAUUUUAAUGUUAAUAAUCUAUUCUAAGUAACAGUAAUGUCCGUAAGUUGUGUGACUGUAAUGUCCAUAAGUUGUGUGACUUAUUUGUUCAUAACCUAAGUGACUGUCAUGUCCAUAAAUUGUGUGACUGUAAUUUUAUUAAACUAAGUAACUGGCAUGUCCAUAACUUGUGUGACUUUAACAUCCAUAACCUAAGUGACUGUAAUGUCAUAAAUUGUGUGACUUUAAUGUUAAUAAUCUAUUCUAAGUAACGGUAAUGUCCAUAAGUUGUGUGACUGUAAUGUCCAUAAGUUGUGUGACUGUAAUGUCCGUAAGUUGUGUGACUUAAUUGUUCAUAACCUAAGUGACUGUCAUGUCCAUAAAUUGUGUGACUUUAAUGUUAAUAAUCUAUUCUAAGUAACGGUAAUGUCCGUAAGUUGUGUGACUUAAAUGUUAAUUAUUUAAGUGACUGUCAUGUCCAUAAGUUGUGUGACUAUUAAUGUCUGUAAGUUGUUUGACUGUAAUGUCUGGGGCAACAACUGCAUUUAGUUGUUGAGUUACUAGUUAAUUAAUUAUUAAGUACCCCAGGGCAUGUAUGGAUUUGUGUUUUAAAACUUGGUAUUGUAUUUUGAAACAAUGUUUAUUGGAAAUAGAGGGAUUUUUAUUUAUUUUGUCGCACUGCUUUACUUACAAAAAUGCCCAAUUUUUUAUGUGAAACAGCCUUUGAAAGAAAAAUAUAGCAAAAAUUAUUUAAUUUUAUUUCUGAUAAUGUAGUCAGUCCGUAGAUGUCCCUUGACCAAAUAAAUGGUCCGCUAUCUACUUUUGUAGCCUGUUGAACAGGUAUCUGACUUAAGUUCUUUGUCCUUUUCUAUUAAACCUGUAUAUCCAUUUUUUACUACUUUGAGCACGAAUAAGAUGAAUGUUUGUCCCCAGUUUAUAGGUCAAGGUCACAGUGGACACUUUAAAUUUGUGUAUAUUCCUUAAAUGGAUGUAGUAAAAUUAUAUGUUCCUGCACGGCUUUAUUUUGUUAUAUUUUGUUUUAUUUUUGAUAUUGUAGUCGGUCAGUAGAUGUCCCUUGACCAAAUAAAUGGUCCGCUAUCUACUGUUGUAGCCUGUUUGACAGGUAUCUGACUAAGUUUUGUUAACGCCCGUUUGAAAAAACGGACAUAUUAUGUGAUCACCCAUGGGUGGGCGGCUUCCAGAUCUCUGAGUAUAACUCUUAAAGUAUAAGAGCUUUUCACAUGAAAAUUCAUAUAUGGAUUGAUUUCAUUGAGAAGAAGUGCAGUGCACGAGAACCAUAACUCUAGCUUGCUUAAUUUCAGAAUUAUACCACAUUUUAAAUUUUCUUUUCUGAGUCAUAACUUCAUAACUAUAAGGCCAAUUAACAUCAAACUUGGAAUAAACGUAGGUUGUGGUGUAUAGAAGUGCAGCCCACAAGAAUCAUAACUUUAGAUUGCAUAAUUUUAGAAAUAUCCCCAUUAAUAAUUUUGUUGGUAUGCCUUUUUUCUUGGUUGCCUGUUUUUUAUGUCCCCAGUCUAUGCUGGGGGACAUAUUGUUUUUGCCCUGUCUGUUGGUUUGUUUGCACAAACUUUAACAUUGGCCAUAACUUUUGCAAUAUUGAAGAUAGCAACUUGAUAUUUGGCAUGUAUGUGUAUCUCAUAGAGAAUAUUUCAUUGAGUGUGACCUUCUUGGUGACCUUCAAAAAAAAGACAAGCAUUGGGGCAUUACGACUCUUGUUUCAUCAAAAAAAAAAAUUUGUUCAAGGUAACUACAAUUAGUCCUCUACAACUUUCACAUUUUAUUUAGUUCAACAGUUCUAUCACAUUUUACAAGUUUUACAUAUUUUUGAGAAAAAAAGUAAAGCUGUGCUACUGUGGACAUUCAUUGUUUUACUCUUUUAUUAUUAAUUAAUGAUCUUUAAGAUUGGUAUCUUCAUUCCAUUUUGGACAUGGUCUGGUCAGUAUUAGUAUUAUACAUAUGAAUGUUAGAAGGUUCAUAUAUCUAUGUUUGCAAUUACAAGAUAAAAAUGCAGAUAAUAUUGCAGCCAAAUUGUGUUACAAUGUAUUACUAUCUGAUGUGUUGUGUGUCAUUGAAUAGCAUAAUCCAUGAGACAUCUUGCACCCAAGCUGAUCCAGGCAAAUGCUGGUCAUGCCCAAAGAAUUUUAUCUGCCAUUGAUUCUUAGAAGGUUUGUGCCCAGCACAUCAUCAGGCACAUUGAAUUUUUACCGUAAUGUAACAAUAAUACAUUGUUCUGGUUCUUACAUAGUUUCAAAUCGUGUAUUACUGUAUACAAAGUUCCCAUUUUAUGUCAUGGGCACAUGCAAGAUGCACAGAGAUGGCAAUAUUGAUAGUCCAGCAAUAUCAGUAGAUUUCUAUAUGAAAUGUAUAUAAACAGAAAUUUCAUUUUCUUUUAAUUUCAUCAUUUCUGGUCAUAUACCUAUCGUUCAUAUUUCAUUGGAAAGCUCUUGAAAUUCUUAAGAUGUCAUAAUUAAAAACUAAAAAUGAGGUUAAACAAACAGACCAUUUAUUGUUCAAUGUUCUUUUCAGUCAAAUUAUGGGGAAAAAAUCAUAUAGUGUAACUUUUAUGCUUAUAAUUUUCUGUAGACAAUAUUAUAUUGUAAAAUAUAUUUAUAUCUAAAAUGCAAAAUGAAUAACAGUUAAAAUGAUACCAUUUUGAGCUCACCUGAGCACGAAGCUUUUAGGAUCACCUUACGUCCGUUGUCCGUGGUGUGUCAACCUGCUUCAAAUGACAUCGCCUAAACUAUGCCAAUUUUGAUAAAACUUUACAAGAAUGAUCAUUGGGUGACCCUAUACUAAAAUUGCUUUAUUUGUUCUGCUUUUGUUGCACAAGAUGACUAUCAUUACUAAAAAUAAAAAAAAUCUUUAAGUGGCAUAUUCUUUUAAACCACUACGCCAAAUUUGCCAAAUAAGUUUACAGAAGUGAUCCUUGGGUUAUCCUUGACAAAAUUGAUUAAAUCAUUUCUUUAUGAUGCAAGAGAUGGCAGUUGUCGCUAGAACAUUAUUGGAUAUUUUGACAUGAACUAGUACACUAAUUGUUCAGGUGAGUGUCUAAGGGCCAUCGGGCCAUCUUGUUAAUAUACCCUCUCAGAGCUGUUAACAAUAUUUUUUAUAUUUAGUUAAAAAAUAACAGAAGCUAUUAACAUUUUCCCCCACUGUAAUUGUAAACUAUCAAAAUGGCUGCCAGAUUAUUGUAAAUAAGAACAAUAUAACUCUUAUCAGAUAGAAAAAUUGGUGCUUUGAAAACUAUAUUGAUAUUUUAUCUGUUUCUAUGUAUAGACGGCUUUGUAAAUUUCAUACAAUGAGUAGUUGGUUUCCUAUUGAACUAUUACGCCAUUUUGGCAUAGAACGUAACCAAAGAAUAUGUACUUUGUGAAGUUGUUUAGGUGAUGAGUUUCAGUACUGUUUCAGUCACUUUAAAUCUACACGUAAAAAAAUAUUUAUAAAUAUUUUAGAAUUCAUCCUCUUAUAAAAUGGAAAAGUUAAUGAAUACGUAAUAUACAUCUGUACUUUUUCAAGUUAGUAUUAUUUUGUAAAAUUGUUAUGAAUAAUUUUAUUCAUUAUAAAUCAUGUCAUGGAUUUUUAAUUACAUGUAAAUCUUAGUAUUGUGCUAUAGUCAUAAUUCUUUUAACUACAUUGUGAAAGUGUGACCUAGUGCUACUUUGACAUAAUAUAAUUGUUGUAAUAUCCUAAAAUCUGUUGUAAGUUUUGUUGCUUGUUAAUACAGUUCUACCGGUACUUGUUCUUGAGUUCAUAUUACUUUAGAAAUUAAUUAUGUUAGAUGUAUGUGUUUACAUCACACACAAUUGUGAUUCUACUGUAUAAUUAUAUAAGUAAAUAUGUCCAAUCUAGAAUCUGUUUUAUACUGAGCUUUCAUAUUUGGUAUGUAGCAUUAUCUAGAGGUCCGCUACCAAAGUUGUUCAAAUUGUUCCUCUGGGGUCAAAAUUGACUCCGCCCUGGGGGUCACAAUUUUACAUUGAAUUAUAUAAGGAAAACUUUAAAUGACUUGAACUGCUAAUGGGAUUUUGACCAAACUCAACAGAAAUGGUCCCUGGGUAGUCCUCUACCAAAAUUGUUCAAAUGGUUCUGAUUGGUUGCAUAAGUACACAUUGUCAAAAAAAAAAGGUUUUUAAAAUGCAACUUUCAAAAAUCUUCUUGUCUGAAACUACAAGACCCAGAGCUUUCAUAUUUGGUAUAUAGCAUCCUCUAGAAGUCCUCUUCCAAAUUUGGUUUAAGUUAUGCCCCUAGGGUUAAAAUUGACCCCGCACCGGGGGUCACAAUUUUACAUUGAAUUAUAUAAGGAAAACUUUAAAUGACUUCUUAUCUUGAACCGUUAAUGGGAAUUUGAACAAACUCAACAUUAACGGUCCCCUUACCACAAUUGUUCAAAUGGUUCUGAUUGGUUGCAUAAGUAGGUCAAGGGGUAAAAAAAUAGGUUUUCUAAAUGCAAUUUUCAAAAAUCUUCUUGUCUGAAACUACAAGUCCUAGAGCUUUCAUAUUAAUUUCAUGUAUAACAUCAUCUAGAGGUCCUCUACCAGUAUUUGGUGGACAACAUUAGUGGUCCUCUGUAAAUGGCUCCAUUGUGACCUUUGACCUUUUCCUAAGGUGAGCGACCCAGGGCCCUUUGGGCCCUCUUGUUAUUUUUCAUUAAAGGGACUCUCUCAGACACGUGUAAUUUGGGAGUAAAUAAACGUUAAAAAUUUGAUAUUCAACUUCCUCGUCACUAUACCAAAGACCGCUUUCAUUUUCCUUACUUAUAAGUUACUAAAACCCCAUGUUUUUGUUGCUUGGUGUGAAGUGAGCCUUCGCGCCAGUCUGUUCAACGUUGGGAAAGCCGGUUUAUAAAUAAACUGAGGAAUUCUUUUUCGCGCGCCAAGCUAUCACGUGACGUCUAAAAAUAAACACUACACAGCAACAUAGUAGCAAAGGGAAAUAAUCGUGCGCUUAGUUUGGGUGGAAUUCUGAACAUUUGAUGUAGAAAAUGCGAGUAUUUUUUAUUUUCCUUACCAAAUUGACCAAGAUUCAAUAAAUAUUAAUGUCUUCUCUAUUUGUUUUUGUCAUCGCUCGACCCAUUUUCGUCUAACGCAAAUAAUGUAUGCGACCAUGCACAUGUUCAGUAAACGUUUCCGAAGACCCACGUGACGAUGGUAUCUAAAAACACCACCUCUUAUUCUAAGUUAAGAUCGUUGUUUACAAAAUAAACCCGUUUAAACGGUCUUACAUAUCUGCGAUUUAAAUGUUAAUUUUCUUCUCUGUACAAAUAUGAGCAAGUUUGGAAAGCUGUCAAUAAUCUAGUUCUGUGUUACUUUAGAAAUGUAUGUUGUCGUGUUUAUGGUAGAAGACAAUUUAUUUACAAAAAGUUAAAAUCUCGAUCUCUGAGAGAGUCUCUUUAACGAAAAACCGGAGAACAGUAGUAAAAAUUAUUUAAAAUUUUGAGAAAAAGGCAUUCAUCGUUACCCCAAACCUUUAUUAUUAUCAGCCAUGUUUUUUUCAUAUCAGGGAUGGUCUAAAACCCGUGGUGUCUGGAACUGUAUAUGUUCUGAUUUUUUACAAAUAAUGUUUUUUUGGGGGGGGCAGGUGGUUUUGGACAGGGGCGGGCGUGGAUGAGAAUCUAAAAUAUUUUUUUCUAUUGCCUAACUGUAAAAUAACAUAUCUUGAAAAAUAAAAUCCUGCAAAUACUUUCUACCUGUUGUUCUGUUACAUGUGUGUUGAACAUUUCUGUGACUUGUUAAAAUCCUAUGGACAAAUUUCUAGUCUAAAUUAGCUUCUCAAUUUAAAUAACUUGUUCCUUCAAAAUAGUGCAUGGUUUGAUAUUGUACUAUUUAAAAUUUGAAUUAAUAUUAUCUCUAGUCCUGGCAAGUCUAUGUUCUUUAAGUAAAUUGAAAUUAAAAGGUUUAUUCAUUUAAACAUUUUGCAAUGAUUUCUGUUAGUUCACAUCUUGUUAAAAUGUUUUAUACAUGCAUAGUUUAUGCCUUGGUUAAAUAAAAUCUGAAAUCUGUUGUGGGAAGUAUCAUACUAUGUAUUCGUGUUUCUGUUUGUAAAACGUUUAAUAAAACUAUUUAACAUAUA
This is a long non-coding RNA of Dreissena polymorpha, 7109 nucleotides long. RefSeq lists it as uncharacterized. The record is from RefSeq and is a predicted model, not a curated record. The transcript is spliced from 2 exons. Lineage: Eukaryota; Metazoa; Mollusca; Bivalvia; Myida; Dreissenidae.